UAUGGCUCAGAUUGAACGCUAGCGGGAUGCCUUACACAUGCAAGUCGAACGGCAGCACGGACUUCGGUCUGGUGGCGAGUGGCGAACGGGUGAGUAAUGUAUCGGAACGUGCCUAGUAGCGGGGGAUAACUACGCGAAAGCGUAGCUAAUACCGCAUACGCCCUACGGGGGAAAGCAGGGGAUCGUAAGACCUUGCACUAUUAGAGCGGCCGAUAUCGGAUUAGCUAGUUGGUGGGGUAAUGGCUCACCAAGGCGACGAUCCGUAGCUGGUUUGAGAGGACGACCAGCCACACUGGGACUGAGACACGGCCCAGACUCCUACGGGAGGCAGCAGUGGGGAAUUUUGGACAAUGGGGGAAACCCUGAUCCAGCCAUCCCGCGUGUGCGAUGAAGGCCUUCGGGUUGUAAAGCACUUUUGGCAGGAAAGAAACGCCGCGGGUUAAUACCCUGCGGAACUGACGGUACCUGCAGAAUAAGCACCGGCUAACUACGUGCCAGCAGCCGCGGUAAUACGUAGGGUGCAAGCGUUAAUCGGAAUUACUGGGCGUAAAGCGUGCGCAGGCGGUUCGGAAAGAAAGAUGUGAAAUCCCAGAGCUUAACUUUGGAACUGCAUUUUUAACUACCGAGCUAGAGUGUGUCAGAGGGAGGUGGAAUUCCGCGUGUAGCAGUGAAAUGCGUAGAUAUGCGGAGGAACACCGAUGGCGAAGGCAGCCUCCUGGGAUAACACUGACGC
This 733-nucleotide ribosomal RNA is filed under the name Achromobacter sp. 110518_136_C_E2. Its description in RNAcentral is "bacterial SSU rRNA". It matches the Rfam family "Bacterial small subunit ribosomal RNA", at positions 18 to 746 of the family's 1533-position model. Lineage: Bacteria; Pseudomonadati; Pseudomonadota; Betaproteobacteria; Burkholderiales; Alcaligenaceae. The record is from RNAcentral. RNAcentral also lists the same sequence under 1 other name.